AAAGUCCCUUCGGGGGCGAGUACAGUGGCGCACGGGUGAGUAAUACGUGGAUAACCAACCCUCGGGUGGGGGAUAACAGUCCGAAAGGAUUGCUAAUCCCGCAUAAGACCACGGCAGCUGCGGCUGCUGCGGCCAAAGGCGCUUUAUUGUGUCGCCUGAGGACGGGUCCGCGUCCCAUUAGCUUGUUGGCGGGGUAAUGGCCCACCAAGGCGAUGAUGGGUAGCUGGUCUGAGAGGAUGGCCAGCCACACUGGGACUGGAACACGGCCCAGACUCCUACGGGAGGCAGCAGUGAGGAAUAUUGCACAAUGGGCGAAAGCUGAUGCAGCAACGCCGCGUGAGUUAUGAAGGCCCUCGGGUUGUAAAGCUCUGUCGGGUGGGAAGAUGUGGUCCGGCUAACAACCGGAUUGUGACGGUACCAUCAAAGGAAGCACCGGCUAACUCCGUGCCAGCAGCCGCGGUAAUACGGAGGGUGCAAGCGUUGUCCGGAUUUAUUGGGCGUAAAGCACGUGUAGGCGGCUUGGUAUGUCGAGUGUGAAAUCCCGGGGCUUAACCCCCGGAACUGCGCUCGAAACUGCCAAGCUUGAGUUCGGAAGGGGGAGAUGGAAUUUCCGGUGUAGGGGUGAAAUCCGUAGAUAUCGGGAAGAAUACCGGUGGCGAAGGCGAUCUCCUGGUCCGAUACUGACGCUCAGACGUGAAAGCGUGGGUAGCAAACAGAAUUAGAUACUCUGGUAGUCCACGCUGUAAACGAUGAACACUAGGUGUUGGGGGUACCAAUUCCUUCAGUGCCGUAGCUAACGCGUUAAGUGUUCCGCCUGGGAAGUACGGCCGCAAGGCUAAAACUCAAAGGAAUUGACGGGGGCCGCACAAGCGGUGGAGUAUGUGGCUUAAUUCGACGCAACGCGCAGAACCUUACCCAGGCUUGACAUGGAGGGAAUCUGGUGGAAACACCGGAGUGCCUGGUUUACCAGGAGCCCUCACACAGGUGCUGCAUGGCUGUCGUCAGCUCGUGUCGUGAGAUGUUGGGUUAAGUCCCGCAACGAGCGCAACCCUCGCUAGUAGUUGCCAUCAUUCAGUUGGGCACUCUACUGGGACUGCCGGUGUUAAACCGGAGGAAGGUGGGGAUGACGUCAAGUCCUCAUGGCCUUUAUGCCUGGGGCUACACACGUACUACAAUGGCCGGUACAGAGGGCAGCCAGCCAGUGAUGGUGAGCCAAUCCCAAAAAACCGGCCCCAGUUCAGAUUGCAGUCUGCAACUCGACUGCAUGAAGGCGGAAUCGCUAGUAAUCGCCGAUCAGCACGCGGCGGUGAAUACGUUCCCGGGCC
RNAcentral lists this ribosomal RNA (1325 nucleotides) under uncultured bacterium. RNAcentral describes it as "bacterial SSU rRNA". It matches the Rfam family "Bacterial small subunit ribosomal RNA", at positions 71 to 1380 of the family's 1533-position model. The record is from RNAcentral.